Brienomyrus brachyistius is the source of this 389-nucleotide long non-coding RNA. RefSeq lists it as uncharacterized. The transcript has 3 exons. The record is from RefSeq and is a predicted model, not a curated record. Lineage: Eukaryota; Metazoa; Chordata; Actinopteri; Osteoglossiformes; Mormyridae.
CAGACUUGUCAGGACAUCAUGCCCCACUCCCUCCAGCAAACGGGAAAAGGAAUUUAAGAUGUAUAUCGGCAGCAACAUCGACAAUUAUGAGGAUAGUAUUAAAUCACUCAAAACCUGAUGUUUUGGUGAGCACCCAUUGUUCCUGUGUGGGGGCUGUGCCUCAUGCAAUCAUUUGGUUGCCCUUCUUUAUCAGACUGCUCAUUAUUCGCAGCUAAACAUCCCUGCUGCAUCCCCAGUACACAGCUGCACAGACCCUGAGCAGUUCUGGCAUAAACCAAGGACACUGGUCCCGUCCAAUGGCUACUUUGGCUUCUUUGAUUGCUGUACUGUCUUCAUCUCCUGGUGUCAUGGAUUUGACAAUCAUUUCCUUCAGAGGGAGGAUCAUUGAU